AGUGAACGCUGGCGGUAGGCCUAACACAUGCAAGUCGAACGGCAGCACAGUAAGAGCUUGCUCUUACGGGUGGCGAGUGGCGGACGGGUGAGGAAUACAUCGGAAUCUACUUUUUCGUGGGGGAUAACGUAGGGAAACUUACGCUAAUACCGCAUCCGACCUACGGGUGAAAGCAGGGGAUCUUCGGACCUUGCGCGAUUGAAUGAGCCGAUGUGGGAUUAGCUGGUUGGCGGGGUAAAGGCCCACCAAGUCGCCGAUCCGUAGCCGGUGUGAGAGGAUGAUCGGCCACCUUGGAAGGGAGACACGGUCCAGACGCCUACGAGAGGCAGCAGUGGGGAAUGUGGGACAAUGGGCGGAAGCCUGAUCCAGCCAUACCGAGUGGGUGAAGAAGACCUUCGGGUUGUAAAGCCCUUUUGUGGGGAAAGAAAAGCAGCAGGUUAAUACCCCGCUGGUGUGACGGUACCCAAAGAAUAAGCACCGGCUAACUACGUG
Molecule: ribosomal RNA, 492 nt
Filed under: uncultured bacterium
Lineage: Bacteria
Description: partial 16S ribosomal RNA
Rfam family: Bacterial small subunit ribosomal RNA
Source: RNAcentral